Molecule: transfer RNA, 73 nt
Organism: Methanocorpusculum labreanum Z
Lineage: Archaea; Methanobacteriati; Methanobacteriota; Methanomicrobia; Methanomicrobiales; Methanocorpusculaceae
Rfam family: tRNA
About the family: Transfer RNA (tRNA) molecules are approximately 80 nucleotides in length.
Source: Rfam
GCUGAUAUAGUGUAGAGGCCAAUCAUGCCGGCCUUUCACGCCGGCGACUCGGGUUCGAAUCCCGAUAUCAGCA